Molecule: non-coding RNA, 21211 nt
Organism: Phalacrocorax carbo (great cormorant)
Lineage: Eukaryota; Metazoa; Chordata; Aves; Suliformes; Phalacrocoracidae
Source: RefSeq, a predicted model, not a curated record
CCGCAAAGAAAGCGGUGGCUUCUGCCACCUUGUUUGCUGCAGUGCAAGUUUGCAUCGGACAGGCUUCUAGCAGAGCUGCUGGCUCAGCAGCUGGAUGGUUGCUGAUGGCACUGGCAGACAGAAUCUUUAUCUCAAGCAAGGUGCUGUUACAGGGCCGGGUGUUUGUUUUAUAUCGUACUUUGGAACAAUAGGGUAGGUGUCCUUCCAGCACUGCAUGGGAGGGGUUUGUCUGUCAUGUCUGGGAGGGAGCCGGUUGGGGUGACUAAAUAGAAAACACACAUCAUGUGAAGAUCUCCUGGGCUGAAAAUAGGUGGCUGUUGCCUCUAAACCUCAAAGUGGAGAUGUCAGCCGCUGGUUUGGCUCCCGCUGCACCUUCACUGUGCUGUUAGAUCCCACCAGCAGAGUGUCUCCCAGGCUGAGAAAUAACCUCUGAAGCACAGGAGACCUCCAAAAGCUAAACCGACCCUGUAAGGUGGACCCAUCUCCUCAGGGAGUGUGUUGCAGACAGACGUGAAGAACUCUUGCAACAGGUCAGAGCAGCAGCCUGCCAGGAAAACAGCUAUGCCUUGGGAAUAGAGAAACUAUCUCUGCCUGCAGAUGUUCUCAGAGGAGUACCACCUCCUUCAGUUAUGGCACGACAGUGAAGCUUACCAUGAAAAUAUCACAACAUGACAAAGCUCUCAUGGUUAUGGAAGGCAAGUGUUGCUUAAUGAUGUUUCUUUUGUCCCAAAACAUGGUCUUUUACUCACUUAUUCUGCAUUUGUGUCUCUCUGAAAGCAUUUUCCCCUUUGCUUCAUUGCGUGCAGAGCAACCUUUGCUGAGGAAUGGUGGCGUCCUGAGGGUUACGUGACCUAAUUUAAUCUGUGCUGCUUUCUUCUUUCUAACCUCAGAAGGCAGAGACCCUGAACUGAAAAGUAUAUAAAAAGAAUCUAAUUAGCACAGGACAAAUAAGAAAAUAAGGCUUCGCUUGAAAAGGGGAUUGAUUUUAAUUUUUUUAAAUUAACAGAAGGGUGGAGUUAGACCAAAUGGCAAGUGUGGCACCUCCCUGAAUGCUCCACAGCACCCGUGGGGUUUUUUUUUGGCCUAGUUUUUGGUAGGAAGGCAAGCUCCUGGGUAGAGUUAUAGCUCUCAUCAAAGAGUUGUCUUCUUUGGACACGUUGACAAGUCACUGAUGUCCUUGUCAGCUGUAAAUGUCAGCCUGACUGUCAAGAGGCAGCUCUGUAUGAGAGGUGAAAGUGUCUGGUCUCACCUCCUGCCUCCUCCUGUGGCCCACCUGUGACAGGCAGGAAAAUCUUGCUUUGAUGAGCACUGGGAAGGCCACUGCCUUGUAGCCGAGCAUGACAUGGAGUCUUCUGGGGUGCAAAGAGGUGGUCUCAACCCCUCUCUCAUCACAGGCUCGCUCAGAAGGUCCCACAAGGAGGACCUGCUCUUAACCUGCCUUCAGCUUCCCUUCCAUAGAAGAGAGAUGCCCCUGGAAAGAUGGGUUUUGGGGUGGCCAGCAUUGGAGGGCUCUUGGAAAAAGGCCCUGUGCAUCUGGGAUUAGCCACUAGGACAUCACACCUUGUAGCAGCUUUCACCAAAUACCUGGUGACCUGGUCUUGGCCAGGUUGAGAGGAAGAGUUUUGCUGGACGCUCUGGGAACUCUUUCCUCCCCCUGCAAUUGUUCGGCUGCGCCUUCAUUCAUCUUUAUUGCUGUUUUUCUGGUUCUUCUCUAGGCUCCUAAUGACAGUGAUUAUACCAAAUGCAUACAUCUCAUGUACUGUAGAAAUAAUUUUCAGGCCCAACUGUCUCUUUCAGUGCUUGGAGGAUCAUUAAAAAUACUGCUUUUUAGAAGUAAGGUUUUUCUCUUCUCCCCACUCUACUUCCAGUCCUGUGUUAACCUGCGCAGUAGUAAAAUUGCUGACUUUAGUACGUUGCAUUAAUUAAUUAUCUCUAUAGCAACAUGCACUACCAUAAAUAUGGGAGUUCAGCAGCACAGCUGGAUGGAAGAAGAGCUAAUAGAUAAAUGGGGAGAAAGGCUUUUUUUUCUAAAAUACACAAAUAUCUCCAGUAGUUAAGGAAACAUAAGAUUACUGGUAAAGUUUUUGCAUAGUUUAUCUUUCGCUGCCCCGUUCCCCUGUCAGCUGAACCGUCUCUGUUACAUAGGCCAUGCGUGUUCCUGCUAAAGAGGUUUUCCAAGCUGCUGGUCUGCCUCACCAUCUGCUCAAAGCGCUGGGUUGUCUCCUGCUUGCGUUUAUACCAAUACGUGGAAAUGCAGGCAGCAGGACUCCUUGCGGGAGGAAUCCCUUUGGCUUCAGCAAAGCCACCCUGCUAGGGUUGGUUCUCCGGGGGGAGGGAAGGGUAUGGAUCUUGAGAAGGAAAUACAGUUAAUUUUGGCACUGUGGGAGGGUGACACAGUGUGAGACAGGAGAUGUCAAGAGGCAGAGGAGCUGGAAGAAGUGAAUUUUGCCUCUGAGAAGGCCAGGAUGCUCUGCUCAAUGUCUCUGCCAGUAGUCAUGACUUGUCUGGCUUUUAGGAGUCCUGGGUUAUCUCCGGAGGUCCUGGCUGGGCUGUGCCGCUGCCUCUUCUUGCCUCGGCACAACUGCCCUGGAUGAAAGGCAGCGGAGAUGUCUGUAUGAACAGUGCCUGUGCAUCGUGCUUGCACUGAGCUCCCUGCAACAGGGCUUGGAGUGGGACUCUCUCCCUGUCUCCCAGCAGUUUGUAGCAGAUGUGGUGUCCUAAAAAUGCAGCGGCAGUGGUUUGCGAUGAUACCUGCAAAACCAGGCUGGGGAGAGGGCUGAGUAGUUGUUUCAAGGGAAGAAAUAUGGUAAGAAGAGACCGUAACUGCACUGCAGCUCCUCAGAGGUUGAGAGCUGGUGCUUUUCUAGCUCUUUUUUUUUUUUUGUCAGAUAGUCUAUUCACUGGACAACUUUGUUUUGCUAUUUGUUUGCCGCAUUGGCUGUGAAGCUGAUCAAUUCUUACCAGUCCAGCACAGUGCUACAGGAGUAACGGCACUCUUCAUUGAGUAAUUUAUUCGGUUAAUCUAUUUUGAUUUUUGGCAUUUGACAGGUCCCAGGCAGGGUACAGUGAGUCUGUGCGGAGGAGUCUCGGUACGCAGCGCUGCUAUUUAUACAGCAUCCCAGCGACGGGAAGCGCGGCGCGGAUGUGCUUGGUGGGGUGAAGAGCUUGUGAUCUCGGAGUGUUUCAGGAUGUCAGACACCCUUGUGUUCUGCUCCAUACAGGAGGAAAAAGGCUUCGGGAUGUUUGCUUAGUUUUGUGCUGAGGUGGAGCAGAGAGAAGCCACGGUGCAGAUGUGACGGACCCUGAUAGGCGAGCUGUUGGGCCCUCCCUUGGGGUGAAGAUGUUAAGUGUUAACACCCUUCUUUGGGCCAGCCCGGAUCAUUUGCUGUGCAGCGUCUGCUGGGGCAAGAAGGCCCAAAAUAUUGCUGGUCUGCUCUGCAUUUAGUCAGCUGCCGUACCCAAACCAGGGAAGGUUUAACUCGGAGCGCAGGACGCUGCACAAACCUCACUUCAAAAAGCAGUGCUCUCUGCCUGGGGUACGCGCAAAAAGGGUUAAGCUGUAAAACAACUGCCCUUUUCUAUAUAAAUUAAAAAACCUGUUAACAUAGUAAUAUUUUUAUUUCCGUAGAAAAGUGUUUAUUUUGGUGGUGUGUACAAAGUUUCAGCUAUUCUAAAACACAGAGAUUUCACAGCCAAGCUUUCAUGUUCCCAGCAGAGAAGGAGGUGAGAUACUCAAAGAAUCUCUGUUCUUAUUUCAGCACUGCACUCGCCAGCCAAAUUUUCAAAAGAGCCCAGUUUGCUGACAUAAAUGGGGUUGCUGAUGUGCCGAAAGAGAAGGAAGUGCCGGAGAACAUGUUCCUCGCUGGGUCCAAGGCGAAGAAUUGGCACGGCCGCUUUAUAGAUGGGAAGAGAAUUCUGCUCCAAAGAUAUUAAUGAUCUGGAUCAUUAAUUAGAUGCAUGAAGAAUACAGAAAAUUGGAAGGAAGUUGGAGCAAAUAAAGAAGCUGAUGCAACUGGAAAUUUUGGGGAAAGAAAGGGCUUGUGAAGUCCCAUCUCCCCUGAGCUGGAAGAGCCUCGCAGCCGCCUUCUGUCACUGCUUCCCAUGCAGGGAAUGGGGAAGGAGCGAGCGGCGAUGCUUUGGGGAGCCCUCCGCCCCCUCUUCUGCGCCUAAAUCCAACCUGCAACUCAACGUGCUGUUUCUUACCUUGCAGCGUGGGGCAGAGGUGAGUCGGGCCAUCUCUCCCCCUGGACUGGGAAUGCCCAAAGGCUCCCUCAUGGAAGCCACUUAAACCUGGAGUACCCGCAGACCUGUGGGUGAGGUCCUGCUGGGGAAGUCCUCCCAUCUCAGGUGUCCAUCCCCGCUGGCUCUCGGGUGCCUGCACAGAUGCUCCGUGCCACGACCACCGCGCUGGGCUGUGGGAUGCGUCUGUGAAGUGACUUGAGUUUUCACUGCUCUGAAAAGGUCUCCCUUUUCCCACGAGGCACAGGAAAGACGGAGACAUCUGAUGAGUGCCCGGGCUGUCCUAGUGCUGGGGAGUUGCUCUGGCUGUGUGUGCCAAAGGGAAGAGCAGCACCUUAAAAGAACUCCUGCCAGUGCGGCAGAGGAAUUUUGGGUCCUUUCUGGUGUGGCAAGGGACACCAAAAAGCGGAUGCCCCGGAGGCUGCUGGAGGAAGAGCAUCUGGCGGGGAGGUGACGUGUGGCCUCAGCUGCAGGAUGGGUACCAGAGACUUGGGCUUUGCUGCAGGAAGGCUUUGCAGCCUCCUCCCUGCUUGCUGCACAGGUGUAGCUCCCAUAAGUGUGUCCCAGGAGCAGCGGAACGGCUUGUGCUUGCGUGGAAAUUGCUGGUUUGAAGAAUUAAGUGAAAGACCACUGCGUUUUCCCUUGCUUUCCCGACCAGGAGAUUCAUGAGGUGGCUGGGACAGUUUUACAAUGUCAAGAAGAACAGAAAAGCUGCAAGGCAUGCGUGCUCAAGAUGUGCUCCUGGAAAUCUUUGGAUGGGCUCCAGGCGAUGUUUGGUGGCAAAGACAGACAAAGGUCUUGGAAAGACAAAAAGAAAAAAACAAAUCAGCCAAGCCCUCCUCCCACAAUCUUCCUGUUCCUGUGAGCUGGGAAUGUCAUCGGAGCACAGGAAGGAUGGAAAACAUGCGUUCCUGCAACAUCACAUGUCUGAGGGUAGUUACAAGGACAACGCCCCAGUUUUACACUACCGCUGCUCUCCUGAUCAGCCCAGCGUGAGGCGCCCACCCGGCUCCCACAGGUGUCUCCUGAUCAGAGCAUGUCUUGGAUGGAGAUAUUAUUCACCCUGCUUCACACUUCUUGUCUCCUGAAGGCCACGUUGUCCACCUCCCCCCUUUCUGGAGAGGAUGCUAGGCAGAAGGAUGUUUUGGCUCUACUCCUUAGCGAUUUGUUCUCCUUUUGACCCCAGAUGGGAUCUUGUCUAAUCCAGACCUGUGGUACAAAGUUCUGCUGUGACUUGCUCCUCGACUGGCUUUUCCCUAGCGGUGGAUAUGGCACCUACGUUUGACGAUGUGCUUCAGGCUGUGCCCCCUUCUCUCCAAGGCGUACCUUAAAGUUGGCAUCUCUGAUCACACCACGCUGAGCUGAAAGUCAUGGCCUUGUUCUUGGGACAGGUAGCACAGCGUAUUUGCCUGUUGCUCCAGUGUCUUCCAGCUGCCCAUGGGACUCCUUAGAAGGAAAGACCAUGCUUCCCACACCUUAUGGUGUAGGCCUGUGAAUACCCGUGUACCUUGGUGCAAGAGCAAGUGCCCGCAGCUUCUCCCUCUUGUAUGGCAGAGCCGUAUUCUGCGUGGCAGGAGCAUCGUGGGCCAGGCGUCUGGGUUGCCUGGUCCCUUGCCAGGUAAUUAAUUCUGCAGAAGGAAAACCCGAAAUAUCGGAUUGAGUCGCAUUACCCUGGAAGUGGCAGGAGGUGGGAGCUGCUCGGGCUGCACGCUUGGCAAGCUUACCUCUAUCUCCCAAUGGGUCCUGCCCGGGGAACAGAGUGGUUUGACCCAGAGGAGGUGACAACACUCAACUGGAGACCCUGAGCAAGGCUGUGGAGAUGCACGGUGGGACCGAGGGAAGACCUGCUGAGCUCCUGUCAGAGGCUUCCGAGCAGACCGGCGUGCUCCCAAACACCUCUCUCUGACAUGGCUUCAGUUGGCCAAGCACGGAAUUCACUGAAGUUAUUAUUUUUACGAGGCUGCGAUUAAUCCAUCCCCAUAAUGCAGAGCAAAGCCAGUGCCUGCUUGCUCAACUCCGCUCCUGCUCGCGACGCCUCCGAAUGGCAUCACGUCCAAUUAGCAGAGCUUAAUGAAAAAGAAGCGAGCCCGGCGAAUGCAUGCCUGUGCUUACGUGGCUGCCUGGGUGUCGAGGAAGCAAAGCUGCGUUUGAAAGAUGUCCUUGAGUCAGGAGGAUGACCAGGAGGAAAAUCCCUUCUCCCCAGGCUGGUGGAAAGGGAGGGGUCUGCAGCGGCUGUUCCCUACCAAGGGGCUCUGUUCUGGUCCAGAGCAGCUAUUUCCCACUGCGAGGAGAGGCUGACGGCGUGGUUCGUGCCAGGGUCUGCUGGAAAUACGCUGCACACUCAGCACACCCCACUUGGCUUCUUCCCCCCAGGACAGUUUUCCAGCAGUGGGAGCGCACAGUGUGCCUUCUUGGUGUCAGGCUGACACGGAUUGCAAGUAAAAGCCACCAACUAGCAAGAACUGUCUCCAAGGGCCCCCGGGCCAUAACGUGAGGCUCAGGGGAGCCCAGCCAAACGUGGCCAAGUCCUCUUUAGGGAGCAGCAGGGCUGACGAUAGCGGAUGCCAGCCAGUCUGCGCCCCAGAGGGCUGGGCUCCCUCCAGUCCACAAAGACAGAAUUGCCGCAACUCCCUCAGCACCCACCCUGUGCUGGGGUCUCAUCCUUCCUCUCCCCGUGCUGAGGAUAUCUAGCCCUCCACAGCACAGAGCCACGGCAUGGUGGGCUACACCCCGUGCACAGGGCAAGGGCAAAGCCAGGAGGAGAUGGGAUGCACCACGCUGGGCCAGGGGGUUUGCCACCUCUGAGCGGGAUGAACAAGCAUCCUGGGAAGAAAUACCCUUAGCAGCCCUGGCCACAGAAGGAAAAGGUGGUGUUUGAUAGUGGAAGGAAAGCUGAUGGUGGGAAAGCAAUGGAUUUUUAAAGCCCAGCCAGUGAAUCAGUCUCAUUGCCGUGGUCACUUAAAAACAGAUCAGCAGAAAUAAAGUAGGUUUAAAUCUAUAGUGGCUUGGAGAAGCCUGACCAGUAAAAUGAAGCUGGCAGCGCAGUGACUUGCUGGGAAACACGGCAGAGACUUGCUCCGUGGGAUGUCCAGCUUGCAGCAGGGCCGCACUAUGCACCGUGCAGCGAUGCCCAGCACAGCCUGGACCGUAACAUCUCAGUUCCCCGCAUCUCCCUGCUUGUCUUGGAGACUGUAACAGCUGUAGGUGGCACAAGAAGAGGGACGGGAACACGCAGCAGGGAGUAAUGGGGAAGAAGGAGACAUCAGAUGGCAACAAUCAACAGAGAAGAUUGACUUAAUGGGAUCAGCCUUCAUUUUGUUCUUAUUAUCAGCACCUUGGGAGUGCGGCUUCUUUAAUUAAUUCCUUUGGUCUCUAAAGCACGGAGCUGAGGCCUGUGUUCUAUCAGCAGCUGCUUGCACUGGUGCUCGUGGGUUGGGGCAGGUAGAGAAGCGCGGAGGUCCCUACGCAGUCACUCAGCACUAGGUAUGUCUCUACAAACCUCUUCUCCAAGCGGUUUAGCCCUCCUUUGGAGGAGAGAAAGGGCUUAGUGGGUUUUAGUAACUCAGGAGUGAGGGCUUUUCUUCCUGAUGUUGUCAUGGUGGGAUUUUUUCUUUAUUUUGUAAUGCAUUUACAAUAUUAUUCUGUUCCAGUUAUGAGGAAGGUGGGAAUGGCUAUUUCUUCAUCUUGCUUGGGAAAGAGUGACCCCUUCCACAAGGCACUGACACCUUCCAAAACUGCCAUGUAUUUUGAAUAUGUUCAGCUGUAACGUGGAAUUUCCUUGCUGGCUGCGUAAGCGCCCGGUUUCAGCCUGCGUUUCCCUGCUAUUGUGUGGCCACCAAUUCACUGGCUUGUGGGGGAAAGUGUUUGCCUUGGCCUCCAUCAAUGGUUCACUGGGUUUUUAACGUGAAGUGGGAGGAAAGGAAGAGGUCAAUUUAUGUUCUUGGUAUCACUCAGCAUUUUAUAUGCCUUUGGUAAAGUUGUGACUGUUAUCAAGGCUAUCGAAAUCUCCAGAGUCUGAAAAUCAAGGUGAAAGCUUGCUUUCAUGGAUUAUUUCCAGUCACUUUUCUUCUGGCUCUGCUAAAAAUAACGCAAGAAUAGCUUUCUUCAAACUUUCCUAUUCCCUCCUGGCUGGAGCGGAGAAGGUCAGGAGGAUGAAAGUGAAAGAAGAGUGGGGGGAUGGAGCCACGGCAAACUCUUCACAGGUACCGGUUUGGAGGAGAUUGCUGACAGUUUGUUGGGUUUUUUUUUCUUUGAUCUAAACCUGAUUAAUUUUCUUUCUGUGUUUCUUUCCUUUAGCUGAUGCAAUGGCAAAGGCUGAGUCUUCCAGUCCUUCUAGAGCAGAAAACUUGCCGUUUUAACCAUUUUCUUUUGAAAGUUAAUUAGAAACAUCCCCAAAGCUAUAGGUUGGUCUGACAAUAUUGCCCCCUGUGUUGUAGGACCUUUAUCCAAGGCCUUGGGACGAUGCUGUGUUGCAUACCUUGUGUUAGGCUAGCUGCCUGCUUUCCUUUGCAAUGGCUAUGGGUUUUGUUGAUUGCUGGACUGGUGCCUAAAUUUGCCGCAUCUUUUUAGUCUGAGGUGUUUCCGUGCGAUCUAGCAGGAGAUAACGGUACCACAGGAGAGAGCCAAGGUAUGAUCUCAAGGUGCGCGUCCAGGAGAGAACUCCUUUAGGCCGCUCAGAAAUGGCAGAAUAAUAGUUCCUCCCUAGAAAAAGGGAAAAAUGGGAAGACGGGUGCUAACCACAAGUGGGGAGGCAUUGCAGCUAAAGAAUCCUCACAUGGCAGAGAUUUCAGCUCAUUACAGAACUACUUCAGUCAGCUGCAAGUUUCUGAAUUGUGAUGAUUUUUUCCUAGCAAGGGGAUGACGUGGCGUUGCUUCCUUCAGCUGUUCAUUAGCGGUGUGCAUAACAGUGGAUCAUCAGGUAUCCUUCCCCAUCCACAAGUUCAUACUGCUUUUAACGUUCUUUAUUAACAAAGGGCAGUCCAGUGUCACUCAGGAGAGAAGGCACCUUUGCAAGAAAGAGGUUCAUUCUUGGCCCCAGCCAUCGUAAAAGCUCCACUCAGAGUCUCUUUAUUCCUCCCUGCCCGCUUCCCUUCAGGGACAGGUCACCCCUCCGCAAGGAGAUCAGGUGAAGGGUCCGUCCCAGCUGCCACCUCCUGGGAGGGGACUUUGCUCACUGCCCCGCAUCAGCCUCUGAUGGAUGCCCUCCUGCCCAUGGGAGCAAAGGGAGAGGGUGUUUCCUCAGCUGUGGCUUUUCCAAUCAUUCCCUUUCCACCUUUUCCUGGCUCAUGGUGCUCUCUUCCCCUUAUAAACUGAUAUUUUAAUCCAAGCCUAAAAAGCUGCCUUUCCCACCCAGCCCUGCUGCCCUCCGCGCUGGGCGCCAGCUGCAGUAGCAGAUCACACUGCAGCACAGCCAGCUUGGCUAAUGAGAGCCUAACUCUCCUGCUCCAAUGUACCUUGGGUUAAUUAGAGGUGAAAGUGGCUUUUUAUUUCCAGAUGAAACGUGUUCCCUGUGGUUUUGCUGCUCGCCCUGAGUUGGCACAGCAGCGCUGCACGCAGGAGUGAGCAGUCUGCGGGAGCUCUCCUGGGGUCCCAGCCUUCUUCUUUCCCCAAAAUUUCUGCUUCUGGGCUGCCCUGGGGACACCCAAAGAGCUAAGCUGGCUCCCCGCAUAGAGGAGGUGCCCCCCCAAUAAAUUUGUUGCAGGUUGGCCCCUGGGGAGCCAAGAGAGCCCCACCAGUUGCGUGGGGAGGCGGUGACGGGGGCUGCCUCGGGGUCGGUGGCAUUUAGCAAGUUCCACUAGCUUCUUUGGUCACGGGUUAUUGAUAUUAUUGUGCACCCACCCCGAUGCCUAGAUAGGCGUGGUGUUGCCGACGUGUGUUGUCCCAACUUUUUCAAGAAGGGCUUUUCAGAACCAUGUCCCAGGAUAUGAGCGGUGGGAGGCUAUCCUUGGAAAAUUAGUAGGGGAGGCAUUUGUUUCUCCAAGGCUUGCGAUGAAAACCCUAACUAACCCUAACUAACUAAAAGGUGCAGGGCUUGCUGAAGAUGUUACAGGCCAUUUUCAGCUUUCUAAGUGGGGCAAAGCCAGAGUUUCUCCGCUCUUCCUGCACUGGUGUAAGUGGUGCAAGGCCCUGCUUAGGUUUUGAAGCAGCAUCUGCAGAGGUCAGAUGUGUAAGACAAGAGGGCCAUUGAGGAUGUCAAAGAUGGUCCCAGGGGGACUAGAAGAGAGCAGCUAAACCUUCAGGGUCCUGAGACAGCAAUAAACCCUUCAGCCAUGGUGCCCUUGAAGGCAACAGGACGUCGCCCAGGGGAGAGCCAGCACCGUGGGAGAGCACCCCGAGGCAGCCUGGGGUAUCAGGAGGGAUGCCUGGGGACUAGAGGCCACCUGAGGGACCAGCUGAGGCGAUGCCAGGUGCCAGGCAGAGCUGCAAGGACCACGGCCAGACAGGGAGACAAGUGACUGUGGAGACCCCCGCAAGCCUUCAAGCGCGGGUUAGCGCAGCAUCGAUCAGAUGCUCCUCUCGCCACUUCUGCCAGCAGGGCUUUGCUGUUGUUUCCCAGUUACUCGAUGGGGCUCUCUUCACUUCCCAGUUUCUUUGGUGUAUCUGCCUCACCAACUGGAGAAGCCGAUGCUCUUUGGCCAGACCGAACGGGAGGGAAGUGCGAUGCCGGUGCUCCCAGCAGCGCUGCCGGCCCUUCCUCUUGCCCCAGCCUCAGUGAGUGAUGAUGAAUUGUGGGUGACAGAGGGGGCAGGGUGAUGGGAGCAGCAGAAAGCAGCACGGGUGGCAUUUCUCAGCACUGCAGUAAGGAGUCAGAGGCAAGGAUGGGAUCUGGGGGAGCAGUGACACGGGUCACCCAAGGGGUCAGCAAGGGGAAGGCGGUCAUGACCCAUGGUAGGGAAGUCUUGGGGUUGCAGCCUCCGGGCUCCUGUGCCUGCUGCAAGAUGGAAGUGACGCAGCUGCUCCCACAUGGCUCCAUGAGCAAGAAAUGUACCUUGGGGACAGUCACCCUGCCACCCUCUGGCUUCCCGCCCCCUCCAGCCCCCUCCAGCACCCAGCAAGCUUUGAGGGGCCACCUACGAGUCACUCCCUGGGAGACCGGAGAAGCAGUACAGCUGGCCAGAGGCAGCAUGGCAGAUGGAGAGGCACACGCAUACCCCAAGCCUACAGCCGAGGCUAGGCCUGUGCACGCUGCCUCGCUUUAAAAUGCCAGCAAUGUCCCGUCAUUAUCAGCUAAUGCCCUCUAAUGGGUCCAUUAAACAGCUCUGUCUUUGCCUUGGCUUCUAAUUCCCCCGCCCCUACUCAUACUCAGGCGGCAUUACCUGCUUCAGAAGAUACGAUUACACUACUUAAUUCUUUCUAAAUGACAGCGCUGAGCCAGCAGCAGAGUGCCGUUCGCCCUCGCUUGGCCAAGCAAGACCCCUGGAUGCCGGCCCGAGGGUGGCGGAGGCAGGGGAGACCCGGCUCUCGCUCCCCGCUCCCUCACCCAGCUUUCCCCUUCGCUGCUGCGGCAGCGGCGUGGGUGUCCCUGAGGGCACCUCCCUGUAAUUAUAGCAGAUUUAUAGCAAAUGGUUCCUCCAGCCCCGUCUCCAUCCCUGCGGCGCAAAGGGCUCUUUGCUUUAUCUCUACCUAAAGCAAGUCUUACCAGUCUGCUGUGGAGCACGAGGCUCGCUGCCCCUCCAGCCACGCCAGCCCAGAUCUCUGCUGGCUGCCAGGGCAAAAUAUUCCUCGAGCCCCAAGAAGGCACCCAUCGCCAUCCCCCGUGCGCAUCUCCAUGUAACAGUCUCUUAAAACACUAGGGGAACGGGGACUGGAGUGAGUGAAAAUUGACUGUUUUUAUGCUCAGUACUUGGUUGGCUUCCUUUGGAGUUCGGAGAAAUUUUUUAAUAGCGCUGACUAUUGAUAAUAUGUCACUAGGAAUUUGAUUAGCACUUCACGGCACAAGCACUAAAAAUACAAGGUCCUGUUCCCCAGAGUGCUUGGAAAUGUUGAGGGAAAGCAAACUGAGAGGAGCAGUAAGGUCAUGGAGAGAUGUGGAGCUCCCAGGAGCACAGCCAACCGAGGCGACUGCGGGGGACGGGCCUGAACGAGGCUCCUGGGGGCCCUGGAAGAGAAAAGCGAGACAAGUGUGGGUCUGUUGGGAGCUCAGUGUCUGCACUGAAGGGCUGCUGCGGCAUCGUGAUUUCAGGAUCUACCACUACCACAUGACCUUGGGUCAAGACAUUUGCUUUUCUCCACUCCCCUUUUCCUGAGGAUGGGGGAAAACAGAGCUCUGGGGGCUCUGGGAUCCAUGGGUGGACCAUGGCAAUACUGAUUUUGGUUAUUCAGAGGAAGGGCAGAGGAAAACGUAGACAAGAAGAGCCACCGACCCGAGAGGUAUGGCAAAAAUAUGUUCACCGUUCCGUGUCCUAUAGCAGAAGGUUAUUUGUAGCAUAAGGCAGUGACAGAAAUAGCCUUUAAGACAAUAUGGCCUUUCCUGCAAACUUACUGCACAUUUUACUCUCAGUUUUAUGUGUCAGUUUUAUUCCUAAUGACCUCUGAUAUGGCAGGCAGGCCUUCAUCUUCUCCUUUUCGUGCUGGGCUGUACACUUCUUGAGGUUCGGCUUGGUUUUUUUUUUCCCUUUCCGUGUUGCUCUGUUAUAAUGUCAUGCUGAGCUGCUAAACCCAGCUGCAGUUUUGACAGAUGAUGUACUAGUUCCCUCUGCUUUAGAUUUGACAUUUUCAUGAGCACUAAACACAAACGCUUACAAAUUUUAAAAGGGAAGAGAACCCCCACCACCACCACCACUCUCUCCUGUUCUUUUUCCGGUUUGGCUUCAUUUUGGAGUUGAUGAAAAAUGCCAGAUUAAUGGCCCUUGAAACUGAAACUCUCUAUUUAGCAGCUGAGCAAGCGGGGUGAGGGAAGCCACCGUGCUUGUUGCUCCUCUGCUGCUCCUGCAGCAAGCCUCGCCCCGAUGGGAGCGCCGUCCCCGGCACCCUCACGCUGCGGCUUCCCGCUUCUGCUGCGGCGACGAUGUCGCUCGGAAGGCGCCGUCCCUGCCAUUAGCCCCUCUCCCACCGCUCCGCAGUUCUGUAUUUAGCCCACGAAGCUCUAAAUAUUUCCGUGCCGUGCUGCUAGAUGCAGCAGCUCCCUCCUCCUUUGCGGCCAAGGCGGUGUUGUGCAACCAGUUUGAGAGGGAUGAUCCUCUGGAUGUUGGGCGGGAGGGUUAGCCCCAGAAGGGAGCCUGUGCUUGAAGCCCGGUCUCCAGGCAGAGAAAGGGCAGGGAAAAUGGUGGGAAGAGAUUUAGAACCAACAGCCCAUGCUGAUAUUCUGGGCGCUUUCAUGCUGCAGCUGAAGCAGCGAUGGGGAAUUUUUCCUUCCACGUUGGUGGAAUUGGGAUUUAGGCUAUUUAUCUUCGAUGAAAUGCCAAGUAAUGGUUGAUUGUGUUUAGAAGCAGCAAAAAGAUAUUAUAAAUAGUGCUUCCUGCUGCUCCAAGACAGGACGAGAAGUAAGAGUGAGGAGACCAGAUCUGAUAACCGUCUGCACGCAUCCUUUUUUGUGCUGUGACUGAUGCGACUCCAGUAACUACAGUGGGUCUCGGGCUAGAGAAGACGUUGAGGCCUGUCAGCCUUUCUGCCACCUGAAGAACUGACUAACCUUGCAUUGGGAUAUUACAAAACGGGGAGUACUCUGGCAUGGCAGGGUGUAGAGGCCCUGUUUCCACAGGGUAGCUCAGGAUAACGGAGAGGGAGAUGCCAUGGGUCAGUUACUAUACAGAAGGAAGGCAACCCUAAUUCUGAGGGUGGUGGGCUCGCCUAACCUUGGAAAGAUGAUGAUCUUCAAACUCUGACCAAGACAGAGAGGAGCUUCAGGCUGCUCUUUCUUGUACGAAAGCACUGUGAAGGGAAGGCAGCAAGGGCUUGCUGUGCCAUCAACUGACAAAUCAAGGCCAGCUGAAGGAAGAAGGAGGAGGACAUCAACACCCAUAAAGGAAAUCCACCCAAGUCUGUUCUCAGCACCCUGCCAGUUUCUGUGCAAUGAAUUGCUGAUCCUGUUACUGGUGGAGCUGAAGCAGUGUGAGAUUUAAGAGGUUGGCGUAGAUGACCGUGAAGUUGCCCACGUGAAGGCUGGGUCAAAUCUUCGGGUGGGCUGCACCCAGUUGCACGGCAUUGGAGCUGCAAGCGUUGUGCAGGAGGUGGUGUUUUGGUCCUCUGCUGGCAUCUUGCAGAGGUUUGGUCUUCAGAAACAGCAGGCACAGUGUAGGAGCUUUCCUCCUCUUUUUUUUUAACUGAACAGGUGAAAAAGAAAUCUUUCUUUUAUAGAAAGUAAGUGCUUUCUUGCAACACCUUAAUUCUAAACGCUAGAGGGAAGAUUAUUUUCCCUUGUUUUGGGCCCAUUAUCAACCCAUCACAGUCACACUUCAUCAGCUGUACUUUGAGCUUAAACUGUGAGCUCCUUGGGCCAGGGCUGCCUCUCGUACACAAACCAGGGGUGUAAAUAAAUGGAAUAAUAAACAGCUUUGCAGAGAGAAGUGAUCACCAGUUUUGUGUUGAUGCUGCUUCGGGCACUUGUGGAAUCAAAAAGGCUUCGCACCGUGGGUCACCUCUCCACCAGCUGGCAUGCAGAGGUUGACCUGCUUGCUGCCACCUCAAGGAAAAGAGCCAGAGGAGCAGCAGCAGGCGGGAGCAGCGCACCCUGCCUGUCCGCAGGCAUUGCAGCAUCUCAUCGAGAAGAUGGUUUUGCUAUGCUGGCCACCUUCUUCUGCUUGCAUGGGGAGCACUGACCCAUGACAUUGCUGUGGGAGAGGAGGGAGGCCACCUCUGAGAAAGGCAGGCACAGGCAAUCAGGCAGAGCAUGGCUGGGCACCGGCAGGAGAGGUGGCUGAGCGGAAGCCCGUCGGGGUAAGAGGCAGAGAUGUGGCCAUUCGUUUCCCGCUGAGGCAUCCUGCCAGUUGCACACAGCAAUGCUUCGCAUGGGGAAGUUAUCAGGGAGCAAACCCAGCUCCUCAUCUGCACCCAUGGGACCGCUCCUCUGGGCACCCCCAGGCCCCAGCAAUGCAAGUGAUGCCAGGGAGAGCAUCAGAGGCACCGGCCCCGCAUCACGCAACAAAGGGCACAGGUAGGAAGAGAAGAGAGAGGAGAAAAACUGCAGGCAUCAGAGAGAAAAACACGCAGAAUUAUGGAAAGGCAAUAUUUAAUAGUUCACCAAUCACAUUCUCAUUUCCAAGUUGCCAUAGGCUUAUUUUCAGGGAAGAAUGAAAACAGGCAAGCUGAUACGAUGAGUCCUAACCUCCUCAUCUUCACAUCCCCGUGCCAUCGCUUGCUGUGUCCUUCAGCAGUGGAGCUUAUUCCCCUGUGCACGAGGCAGAGGUUCCAGGUCCCUCCGCUACUGGCAAAGCUGGCGUCAAUGUGCUAAGGCUGCUAUGGAUCAGAUAGACCACGGCUCUCAUUGUCCCCUGGCUAUCGGUAUCUAACGGGUGACUCUUCUCUUCCACCUCCAUUGUGGGACCCUCUUGUUCUGCACUAAUAUCCCACCAAGCACAACAGGACCCAUGAAUAGGCCUUUUAGGCACUGCAUUAAUACCACGACGGAAAAAAAGCAUAACCAUCCCUAAAUGGACUAGCUCUUUCAAGGAGGUAUUACCUUUAAUCAUUUUUAAAUUUGUGUAAGGCAACUUGGAAUUACCUACAAAGGACUCUCUAUAAAACCAGAUUGUAUUGCAUUUAAUACCUAUGCUUUUAGCCCUCUCUUUCCUUAUUUUCUUGUACUUAGAUAGAUUUUCCUCUAGAGGACUGUAUUUUUUUUUUCUUUCCGAGUGUCUGUGCUGGCUCAAAAGUGACUCAGUACUUCAUCAAUACCUCCGGUGGCUGUUGGUACAGCCACUGAUGGGAAGCUGGCAGAGAAUUAUUCAGGUGAAAGCCUCCAAGAAAAAUCAGUCAGGGGAAGGUCGGUUAGUUUGCUUGUUUUAAAUUUUGAUUGUUUUCAGAAAUGGAGGGGGAAACCAGAGACACAGCCAGAGAACAGAUUUUUGAGAAUGCUAGAAGUAUUUAAAUACUCAGUGGAAGGAGGUUGGAGUUUAUAGCAACAUACCACAUUACCUUUUUUUUUUUUUAAAAAAAAAGCGCAUUUCCAAUACCAUUGCACUUUGCAACGAGGAAAAGCCUGUAAGGAGAUAAGAAAGGCCUUUCUGGUUCAGCUGAAAAGCACGCCUGCACUUACCACAAAGGCUGUCCUGACUUACAACUGUUUUCCUCUCUGGGGAAUCCCAGAGUCUGAUGUGAUUUCUCUGCCUAGUAAUACCCAACAGAUUUUCCUCCCUGCCUUCGCUCCAUCCCCCUGUGAGCCUACACAAGCAGCUUCCUCCCAAAGAAGUUAUAGGCACAGAGCAAAGGUGUUGAAGUUUGCAGGUGGGCACAGGUUGGGGGAAAAAAACUCAAAAAUUCCUUAAAGGGUCAAAUUUCCUUGUCGCCUUUUUACCUUGGUGUGUGCUGCUGUCCUCCAGCACGAAGGCUGAACCCGGAGCGAGCAGGAGGAGCCUCCCUGCCUUUCCCCUCUUGUCCUUGGGAAUGAAGCUUACUCCAGGUGCUUGCAGGGUGUUGAAGCCCCCUGAAACAUCUUCUAAUGCCAAGUGAUGAAGGAUGCAGUCCUCCUGCCUACAACAGGGACCAGUCCGAUGGGACCCUGAAAAAGUGCUGCUUUCCACCUGGGACUGAACCAGGUCGCACCAUGCCGCAGCCCUUUCAGUGCUCUGCUCAAGGGAUGCUCUGCUGUCAAAAUCCUCCCCCGGGAGUUUCCACUCCAGCAGAGCAUCCUGACCUUGCAGCACUGAAAGUACCUGAGGAAGACCCACAUCGCUUCUGCAUCUGGUUUUGGGCAGCCGAAGAGAGGAGCAGCAGCUCCUUAGCACCUGGCAGACAUCUCUGCUUGAGAAACCCAGCCCCUCCGGGCAGCGCUUUCUCUGCGAGUCUCGCUUUCCUCCCCUCUUGCUCCCGCCCCACGCAGUGGAUGUCGUGCCACACGCCGCGUGUGCCGUCCAUCUUUCCAACCACGUGCUGUCACAUCAUCCAGGAAAGGGCAGAUUAACAAACUGGUCUGGAAGGGGUUUCUUCAUUAAAGGGAGACUGUUUUGGUGGGACAACAGCAACCUGUAUCCCUCACCAGUCUCCGAGCGCUUACAGGUAAUGCUUGCGCUCGGGGGAAAAAGGUGUGGGGCCAAACUUUAGGGAGCCCCUUAUUAAAGCACUUGCAGCACGUCGCUGCAUCGGCCUGUGAAAACGUGACUGUCACCCCGAGGCUAAACCCGGUGCUGAGGAACCUGACAGCCUAGGUGAAACCAGCCACAAGCGACUUCUCCCGUCCUCCUUGGGAGGGAAGAUAAAUGUCAUAAGUCAUCAGCCGUCACGGCUCGUACAAGGCACAUUUUUCUCUCCCCGGCACCGAGCCGAAACUGCUCUGGACGGAGGGAGGGUGAGGGGCGAAGGGGAGCUGUGAAUCCUGCUAAACUUCUCAUGUCCCUUGGGCGGGUCUGUCAGCACUGAUAGAAAAAUGUGUGCGUAAAACUGGGGGAAACAAGGCGUGCAACCGCCCAGGCACUGAGAAGGCAGCCAAAGCAGGCAGAUAGAUGGGUGUCUGGAUGGGUAGGCAUCUGUGCAAUGCCGAAUCCUGCGGAGAUUGAGCAUAAACGCUCAGCACCCGCCGCCUUUGCUGAACAAAAGCUCUUUCAGCAAGCCACCGCUGAAUGCAAGCGGCAGUGGACCGCAGGGGUCAGGAGCAGCUAGAGGGGCUGAAAGCCCUCCAUCCCUUCCCAGGAGCUGCAAGGCCAUCCUCCUCAAGUCCCCUUUCUUGGCUGAAGUUGUACCUUAACUGCCCAUCAGGUGGGCACCCAUCAACCCCAGCCCCCAGCUCCUCCUGCGCAGCCCAAAUGCCGUGGGCAAUAUUCUCCUCCAAGUUUUGUAGCUCCGUGCGUGGGAAUGAGCUCAGGGUAAACGUUUGCGGUGGUGAAAGGCCCGUUUCCUUCCCUUUUCCUGCCUCAAGAAACUCGCAUACCCAGGGAAAGCCUCCUUAUUCUGGGCAUGGAGGCGCCAGCUCUGCUUUCCACAAAGCAAAAGCCAUCCCAGCAGCUCACGGGCAAGGUGGCCAUAAGAAAGCAGCGGACUGGAAAGGGUUAGAGUAAGGGGAGGAGAUACGCUGGGAAGCCCAGCUUCCAGGUAGUUUAAGCUUAAUGGAGAGUAACAAUUCCUGUAAAACCAGUUAAUUUCCCAUUGCUGUCAUUUCACGCUGCAAAGGCCAAGAAAAUAUUUUCGGUGCAGCGGGCAGUGCUGGGCUGCACAAGCGGGCAGGAACAGGCAGGGAUGGGGAUAUUCAUCCCAAGAGGCAGGUGCGUUUUCUGUGAGCCAAAUUCUGAUGGGAAUGAUUCCCCUCUGCCCCAAGUUUGGAUGGGGGGUGAAAUUAUGGGUGUCCUUUUCCCUGAAGCCCGGGUUGUUGCUCCUUCGUCUCACUCGUCAGGGCGAGAGGAGGUGAUUCUCAUCAUCAGCCCAUGGCAGAGACUUUCCUUGGGGAUACCUGGAGCCAAAUACAACUUCUGUGUAUUUAGCAGUCUGUAGUGGAGCCCAUGCAUCUUCUUGGCAUCUGUGGCAUCCUGUAGGAAGCAGUCUCGUGCUCCAAUACUCUCCAAUCACUUAUCCUCUUCUGACAGCAUCCCCAAGCCAUGGGCUCUGUCAAAACACCUCUACCCCAGUCGAGGACCACCGUGGUAUUUCUGCUCUCAAUUCACCCCAGGGAGAAAAGGACAAAUCUUGCUGAAUCCAGGGUGACAUUUGGUCAUGCAGAUAAAACUCUGCUGCCAAACGUUGCUGGGUGGUGAGUAGAGCCCGGCAAAUAAUUCCAUGCAAAUAACUCGCUAAGUGAAUUGAGCUUCUCUUGCCUCUCACAAACUGCCCGUGAACAUACUGCGACCCACCAUGUCCUCAGGUAAACCAGCUAUUGGAAAUCAUUUGCCACUUCAAAAUUUGUUCUCGGGUUUAUGGUGUUCAAUAAGAAGAGAGCUGCACAGAUUGGCAGCGGCUGCUCACAUAAAUCACAAGGCAUUUUCUUCCUGUUCCUAAUCAUGCCAGAAGUCAGUGGGGUGGGGUGUGUCCCGGAGAGAGACAGUGGACACGCAGGAUUACCAAAUUUUAGAGCAUUUCAAACCUUCGCCUCUCUGACCAAUUAAGCCUUGUGUAACACAUCACGCCAAGGGAAAAUGGAGCCUGGCAGAGAACAUAGUUCAGAUUUAAUCUUGCUGCAUUGAGUUCACGCAUAAAUAAUCACUUGUGAACUUGCUGCUUCGAUCUGCCCCACUGACUGGCCUCUGUCAAGGCCUGGGAAAGUCUCCUUAGUUAGAUGUUUUGCAUAAGAUGAGCCAGAGGAGAGGUGCCAAGGAGAGGAAUGAUUUUUUUAACAUGAACACAUCAAGCAGCAUUUGCAACAUUUGCCCAGAGGGUAUUCAUUCCUGGUAUCGUUAUUUUCAUGGUGGCUCUUUGCAAUGAUUAAUUUAAAGUGCCAGCACCAGGAAUCAUGGGAACAUAUGAGAAACCCAGUUUUUCUUUUAAAAUAGAAGUGUGUUUCCUUUCCAACGUUACAGAAGAAACCUGGGAAAAGGUCAUCCUUAAAGACAUGUAAAACAUCCCUCCGCAUCUUGUCUAAUCUCAUACUUUUUCAUGCCAUUUCUUAAUUUGGAGAAGAAACCCUCUCAUUUGGAGUGCACCAUAUGGUUGCAGAUCACCAAAAUGGAAAAGCCAAUAUCAUCCAACCUUUUGCAGCAGAUGCUUUGAUUUUCCAGGGUGCUCAACGGCAGACACACCAGCCACCACCUUCAGUAUGUCUUUCAAGAGCUUUCAUGACAAAGUUGGGCUUGUGUUUCCCAAAGCAGUCAGUGAAGUGUGCAGGCUGGGGCUGAUGUCUCCAUCCAUUACUUCCCAAUGUAUACCUUGAGUCUUCCCCCUUCUUGGUCACCGCUCUGUCCCUGUGCAAGGACGAUAACUGCCAUCAGCCCUUGCCUGGUACGCCUUGUCCGUGCAUUAUUUGCCUGCCUUGAUGACGCAGCCUACUUGUUCAGGCCAUCUGAUAAGGUCAUCUCGUAGGGACUUCCACCGUGGUCAUGAGCUUGCCUUUUCUCAGACUUCCUACCUUUUGGCCUCUUUACAUCUGCUGCGUAGCGCUGAGAAACCUGUGGCCUUUGGUUGGGUACGUGGAGGAGGUGAUGUCCAUGUCCCUCUGUACUCCGUCUCCACCUCAGAAGAUGGGACCUCUUGACUAAGGGUCUUUUUUUUUCUUUGCUUUCCCCAGUCAUAGAUUUUGAAGCAACCUCUUAUUGCUUGACAAGGCCAGGAAAAGCCUUCCCUGCAAAUGUGCAGCGUGCUUCCCUGCAGCUGUCCUUUGGACAUGGUGGCAGCUGACCUCAGUGCUUCCCUCCCCUUGUGAAACACAUGCCUCUCCAUCCCCAUCCCCGGUGCCCCUGGGGGCACCUCUUGUUUCACUGCUUCCUAACAGAAUGUGUUGUGUCCGCCUGGGCUACCGCUGCUCUCAGUCAGGCAGAAGCAAGCCGAGUUUCCUCCGAACCAACCCUGGACACAGGCUAGCGGGGGGGUGAAGCUGCUCAGGCGUACAAGCGGUCGGGGUUUGAUACAGGAGGUCAAGUGUGCUGCGGCGCAGGGCAUCUGGCUGGAUGCAGAGCCGCUGCUUCACCUUCCGUGCCAGGUCACCUUCAUGCCAGGUCUUCCACAUGAGCAUCUUCCCAUGGAGGCAGUGGACCAGACCUCCGGAUGAUGGCCGGGCAGCAGGAGGAGGUCGCACUCACCACAUUUUGCUUUGUCCACCCACUUGGGGCGAGCGAUUUCACCCGUCAGCUGGAGCUGGAAUUUCUGAAGCAUUUCUGCCACAUCCCUAACCCCAAACCCAUCUGCUUUCACGGAUGUUGCACGCACGUGCACGCUGCUUCAUCCCCAGUGACCCUUCCCC